RNAcentral lists this ribosomal RNA (1629 nucleotides) under Salmonella enterica subsp. enterica serovar 4,12:i:-. RNAcentral describes it as "partial 23S ribosomal RNA". It matches the Rfam family "Bacterial large subunit ribosomal RNA", at positions 1271 to 2878 of the family's 2925-position model. Lineage: Bacteria; Pseudomonadati; Pseudomonadota; Gammaproteobacteria; Enterobacterales; Enterobacteriaceae. The record is from RNAcentral.
UGCUGGAGGUAUCAGAAGUGCGAAUGCUGACAUAAGUAACGAUAAAGCGGGUGAAAAGCCCGCUCGCCGGAAGACCAAGGGUUCCUGUCCAACGUUAAUCGGGGCAGGGUGAGUCGACCCCUAAGGCGAGGCCGAAAGGCGUAGUCGAUGGGAAACGGGUUAAUAUUCCCGUACUUGGUGUUACUGCGAAGGGGGGACGGAGAAGGCUAUGUUGGCCGGGCGACGGUUGUCCCGGUUUAAGCGUGUAGGUGUGUGUUCCAGGUAAAUCCGGUUCACUUUAACACUGAGGCGUGACGACGAGGCACUACGGUGCUGAAGCAACAAAUGCCCUGCUUCCAGGAAAAGCCUCUAAGCAUCAGGUAACACGAAAUCGUACCCCAAACCGACACAGGUGGUCAGGUAGAGAAUACCAAGGCGCUUGAGAGAACUCGGGUGAAGGAACUAGGCAAAAUGGUGCCGUAACUUCGGGAGAAGGCACGCUGACACGUAGGUGAAGUGAUUUACUCAUGGAGCUGAAGUCAGUCGAAGAUACCAGCUGGCUGCAACUGUUUAUUAAAAACACAGCACUGUGCAAACACGAAAGUGGACGUAUACGGUGUGACGCCUGCCCGGUGCCGGAAGGUUAAUUGAUGGGGUCAGCGCAAGCGAAGCUCCUGAUCGAAGCCCCGGUAAACGGCGGCCGUAACUAUAACGGUCCUAAGGUAGCGAAAUUCCUUGUCGGGUAAGUUCCGACCUGCACGAAUGGCGUAAUGAUGGCCAGGCUGUCUCCACCCGAGACUCAGUGAAAUUGAACUCGCUGUGAAGAUGCAGUGUACCCGCGGCAAGACGGAAAGACCCCGUGAACCUUUACUAUAGCUUGACACUGAACAUUGAGCCUUGAUGUGUAGGAUAGGUGGGAGGCUUUGAAGUGUGGACGCCAGUCUGCAUGGAGCCGACCUUGAAAUACCACCCUUUAAUGUUUGAUGUUCUAACGUGGACCCGUAAUCCGGGUUGCGGACAGUGUCUGGUGGGUAGUUUGACUGGGGCGGUCUCCUCCUAAAGAGUAACGGAGGAGCACGAAGGUUGGCUAAUCCUGGUCGGACAUCAGGAGGUUAGUGCAAUGGCAUAAGCCAGCUUGACUGCGAGCGUGACGGCGCGAGCAGGUGCGAAAGCAGGUCAUAGUGAUCCGGUGGUUCUGAAUGGAAGGGCCAUCGCUCAACGGAUAAAAGGUACUCCGGGGAUAACAGGCUGAUACCGCCCAAGAGUUCAUAUCGACGGCGGUGUUUGGCACCUCGAUGUCGGCUCAUCACAUCCUGGGGCUGAAGUAGGUCCCAAGGGUAUGGCUGUUCGCCAUUUAAAGUGGUACGCGAGCUGGGUUUAGAACGUCGUGAGACAGUUCGGUCCCUAUCUGCCGUGGGCGCUGGAGAACUGAGGGGGGCUGCUCCUAGUACGAGAGGACCGGAGUGGACGCAUCACUGGUGUUCGGGUUGUCAUGCCAAUGGCACUGCCCGGUAGCUAAAUGCGGAAGAGAUAAGUGCUGAAAGCAUCUAAGCACGAAACUUGCCCCGAGAUGAGUUCUCCCUGAGACUUAGAGUCUCCUGAAGGAACGUUGAAGACGACGACGUUGAUAGGCCGGGUGUGUAAGCGCAG